RNAcentral lists this ribosomal RNA (409 nucleotides) under bacterium. RNAcentral describes it as "partial 16S ribosomal RNA". It matches the Rfam family "Bacterial small subunit ribosomal RNA", at positions 355 to 776 of the family's 1533-position model. The record is from RNAcentral.
UGGGGAAUAUUGCACAAUGGGCGAAAGCCUGAUGCAGCGACGCCGCGUGAGGGAUGACGGCCUUCGGGUUGUAAACCUCUUUCAGCAGGGACGAAGCGCAAGUGACGGUACCUGCAGAAGAAGCACCGGCUAACUACGUGCCCGCAGCCGCGGUAAUACGUAGGGUGCAAGCGUUGUCCGGAAUUACUGGUCGUAAAGAGUUCGUAGGCGGUUUGUCGCGUCGUUUGUGAAAACCAGCCGCUCAACUGCUGGCUUGCAGGCGAUACGGGCAGACUUGAGUACUGCAGGGGAGACUGGAAUUCCUAGUGUAGCGGUGAAAUGCGCAGAUAUCAGGAGGAACACCGGUGGAGAAGGCGGGUCUCUGGGCAGUGACUGACGCUGAGGAACGAAAGCGUGGGUAGCGAACAGG